RNAcentral lists this long non-coding RNA (267 nucleotides) under Elaeis guineensis (African oil palm). RNAcentral's name for it is "long non-coding RNA (EGUI_LNC064435)". Lineage: Eukaryota; Viridiplantae; Streptophyta; Magnoliopsida; Arecales; Arecaceae. The record is from RNAcentral.
CGAGCUCCUACGGUAAGUGGUCCUCGCCCGUAGCCUUAACGCCCAAGGCACCCAACAGGAUUUGCAAUAUCCGAGUUUCUCUCAGAUGGAUAGCUACCUCUCUCCGCCAGGCACCUCCACCAAACUUUGACCGACAGGCCUGGGCCCCCUGGCAGGCCACAGUAACGGCCACGACUCUGCUCCACUUCCUACGACGGAUUCCACAUGGCUCCAUCACUCCCUGGCAGGCCACAAUAAUGGCCACGACUCUGCUCCACUUCCUGCGAU